RNAcentral lists this ribosomal RNA (253 nucleotides) under uncultured bacterium. Its description in RNAcentral is "partial 16S ribosomal RNA". It matches the Rfam family "Bacterial small subunit ribosomal RNA", at positions 524 to 776 of the family's 1533-position model. The record is from RNAcentral.
UACGUAGGGUGCGAGCGUUGUCCGGAAUUAUUGGGCGUAAAGGGCUCGUAGGCGGUUUGUCACGUCGGGAGUGAAAACUCAGGGCUUAACCCUGAGCCUGCUUCCGAUACGGGCAGACUAGAGGUAUGCAGGGGAGAAUGGAAUUCCUGGUGUAGCGGUGAAAUGCGCAGAUAUCAGGAGGAACACCGGUGGCGAAGGCGGUUCUCUGGGCAUUACCUGACGCUGAGGAGCGAAGGCCAGGGGAGCGAACGGG